Molecule: non-coding RNA, 148 nt
Filed under: Homo sapiens (human)
Lineage: Eukaryota; Metazoa; Chordata; Mammalia; Primates; Hominidae
Source: Rfam by way of RNAcentral
GCCAGGCAUGGUGGUGGAUGCCUGUAAUCCCAGCUACUCGGGAGGCUGAGGCAGGAGAAUCGCUUGAGCCCAGGAGGCGGAGGUUGCAGUGAGCCAAGAUCACGCCGCUGCACUCUAGCCUGGGCAACAGAGCAAGAUUCUGUCUCAA